GGAGUUUGAUCCUGGCUCAGAAUGAACGCUGGCGGCAUGGAUUAGGCAUGCAAGUCGAACGGAGACCCGGGCUUCGGCCUGGCGAUCAGUGGCGAAAGGGUGAGUAACACGUGAGCAACCUGCCCCUGAAUCUGGGAUAGCCCCGGGAAACUGGGAUUAAUACCGGAUGCGGUUUUCCGUCGCAUGGCGGAAGGACCAAAGAUUUAUUGUUCAGGGAUGGGCUCGCGUCCCAUUAGCUUGUUGGUGAGGUAACGGCUCACCAAGGCUGUGACGGGUAGCUGGUCUGAGAGGAUGGUCAGCCACACUGGGACUGAGACACUGCCCAGACUCCUACGGGAGGCUGCAGUCGAGAAUCAUCCGCAAUGGGCGAAAGCCUGACGGUGCAAUGCCGCGUGAGGGAUGACGGCCUUCGGGUUGUAAACCUCUGUCAGGAGGGACGAAGAAGUAACGGUACCUCCAGAGGAAGCCACGGCUAACUACGUGCCAGCAGCCGCGGUAAUACGUAGGUGGCGAGCGUUAUUCGGAUUUACUGGGCGUAAAGGGUCCGCAGGGGGGUUGCCAAGUCUGAUGUGAAAUCCCAAGGCUCAACUUUGGAACUGCAUUGGAUACUGGCGAACUAGAGUGCACGAGGGGUGAGCAGAAUUCCAGGUGUAGCGGUGGAAUGCGUAGAUACCUGGAAGAAUACCGAUGGCGAAGGCGGCUCACUGGCGUGCUACUGACCCUCAUGGACGAAAGCAUGGGUAGCGAACAGGAUUAGAUACCCUGGUAGUCCACGCUGUAAACGUUGUGCACUAGAUGUGGGCGGUUUUGAUCCCGUCCGUGUCCCAGCUAACGCGAUAAGUGCACCGCCUGGGGAUUACGGCCGCAAGGCUAAAACUCAAAGGAAUUGACGGGGGCCCGCACAAGCGGUGGAGCAUGUGGCUUAAUUCGAGGCAACGCGAAGAACCUUACCUGGGUUUGACAUAUACCGGACCGGCCGUGAAAGUGGUCUUCUCUUCGGAGUCGGUAUACAGGUGCUGCAUGGCUGUCGUCAGCUCGUGUCGUGAGAUGUUCGGUUAAGUCCGGCAACGAGCGCAACCCGUGUCGUCAGUUGCUAACAGGUAAUGCUGAGGACUCUGGCGAGACUGCCCGUGUCAAGCGGGAGGAAGGCGCGGACGACGUCAAGUCCGUAUGGCCCUUACAUCCAGGGCUGCACACGUGCUACAAUGGUCGGUACAAUGAGAUGCGAAACCGCGAGGUGGAGCAAAUCUGCAAAACCGGCCCCAGUUCGGAUUGGAGUCUGCAACUCGACUCCAUGAAGUCGGAAUCGCUAGUAAAGGGGUAUCAGCAACGGCCCCUUGAAUACGUUCCCGGGCCUUGUACACACCGCCCGUCACAUCAUGGAAGCUGGCUGCACCCGAAGUCGUUGACCUAACCCCUCGGGGAAGGAGACGCCGAAGGUGUGUCCAGUGACUGGGAUGAAGUCGGAACAAGGUA
RNAcentral lists this ribosomal RNA (1476 nucleotides) under metagenome. RNAcentral's name for it is "bacterial SSU rRNA". It matches the Rfam family "Bacterial small subunit ribosomal RNA". The record is from RNAcentral.